GACGAACGCUGGCGGCGUGCUUAACACAUGCAAGUCGAACGAUGAAGCCCAGCUGGCUGGGUGGAUUAGUGGCGAACGGGUGAGUAACACGUGAGGAACCUGCCCCUGACUCGGGGAUAAGCGUUGGAAACUACGUCUAAUACUGGAAAUGGCUACUGGACGCAGGGCCUGGUGGUGGAAAGAUUUUUUGGUUGGGGUGGGACUUGCGGCCUAGGAGGUUGUUGGUGAGGUAAUGGCUCACCAAGGCGACGACGGGUAGCCGGCCUGAGAGGGUGACCGGCCACACUGGGACUGAGACACGGCCCAGACUCAUACGGGAGGCAGCAGUGGGGAAUAUUGCACAAUGGCCGAAAGCCUCAUGCAGCAACGACGCGUGAGGGAUGACGGCCUUCGGGUUGUAAACCUCUUUUAGUAGGGAAGAAGCGAAAGUGACGGUACCUGCAGAAAAAGCACCGGCUAACUACGUGCCAGCCGCCGCUGUAA
This 483-nucleotide ribosomal RNA is filed under the name uncultured bacterium. RNAcentral describes it as "partial 16S ribosomal RNA". It matches the Rfam family "Bacterial small subunit ribosomal RNA", at positions 28 to 523 of the family's 1533-position model. The record is from RNAcentral.